This 253-nucleotide ribosomal RNA is filed under the name uncultured bacterium. RNAcentral's name for it is "partial 16S ribosomal RNA". It matches the Rfam family "Bacterial small subunit ribosomal RNA", at positions 524 to 776 of the family's 1533-position model. The record is from RNAcentral.
UACGAGGGGGGCAAGCGUUGUUCGGAAUUAUUGGGCGUAAAGGGUGCGUAGGCUGUGCGGUAAGUCACCUGUGAAAUCUCCGAGCUCAACUCGGAGCCUGCAGGCGAAACUGCCGUGCUGGAGUAUGGGAGAGGUGCGUGGAAUUCCCGGUGUAGCGGUGAAAUACGUAGAGAUUGGGAAGAACACCAGUGGCGAAGGCGGCUAUCUGGACGGUUUCUGACGCUAAGACGCGAAAGCGUGGGGAGCAAACAGG